GACUGAUCCCAGCUAACAUUAUCUUUAUAUCACAGCCAGGUAAUAGACUGAUCCCUACUAGCAUCAUCUUUAAAUCACAGCCAGGUAAUAGACUGAUCCCUACUAGCAUCAUCUUUAAAUCACAGCCAGGUAAUAGACUGAUCCCUGCUAACAUUAUCUUUAUAUCACAGCCAGGUAAUAGACUGAUCCCUGCUAGCAUCAUUUUGAAAUCACAGCCAGGUCGUAGACUGAUCCCUGCUAACAUUAUCUAUAAAUGACAGCCAGGUAAUAGACUGAUCCCAGCAAACAUCUAUAAAUGACAGCCAGGUAAUAAACUGAUCCCAGGUAACAUUAUCUUUAAAUCACAGCCAGGUAGUAGACUGAUCCCUGCUAACAUUAUCUUUAAAUCACAGCCAGGUAAUAGACUGAUCCCAGCAAACAUCUAUAAAUGACAGCCAGGUAAUAAACUGAUCCCAGGUAACAUCAUCUUUACAUCACAGCCAGGUAAUAGACUGAUCCCAGCUAACA
Sebastes umbrosus (honeycomb rockfish) is the source of this 507-nucleotide long non-coding RNA. RefSeq lists it as uncharacterized. The record is from RefSeq and is a predicted model, not a curated record. Lineage: Eukaryota; Metazoa; Chordata; Actinopteri; Perciformes; Sebastidae. The transcript has 2 exons.